AUUGAACGCUGGCGGCAUGCUUUACACAUGCAAGUCGAACGGCAGCGCGGGCUUCGGCCUGGCGGCGAGUGGCGAACGGGUGAGUAAUGCAUCGGAACGUGCCCAGUAGUGGGGGAUAGCCCGGCGAAAGCCGGAUUAAUACCGCAUACGACCUGAGGGUGAAAGCGGGGGACCGAAAGGCCUCGCGCUAUUGGAGCGGCCGAUGUCGGAUUAGCUAGUUGGUGGGGUAAAGGCUUACCAAGGCGACGAUCCGUAGCUGGUCUGAGAGGACGACCAGCCACAAUGGGACUGAGGCACGGCCCAGACUCCUACGGGAGGCAGCAGUGGGGAAUUUUGGACAAUGGGGGCAACCCUGAUCCAGCCAUGCCGCGUGCGGGAAGAAGGCCUUCGGGUUGUAAACCGCUUUUGUUCGGGAAGAAAUCCUCUGGGCUAAUACCCCGGGGGGAUGACGGUACCGGAAGAAUAAGCACCGGCUAACUACGUG
This 484-nucleotide ribosomal RNA is filed under the name uncultured bacterium. Its description in RNAcentral is "partial 16S ribosomal RNA". It matches the Rfam family "Bacterial small subunit ribosomal RNA", at positions 28 to 507 of the family's 1533-position model. The record is from RNAcentral.